RNAcentral lists this ribosomal RNA (429 nucleotides) under uncultured Acidobacteriota bacterium. Its description in RNAcentral is "bacterial SSU rRNA". It matches the Rfam family "Bacterial small subunit ribosomal RNA", at positions 355 to 776 of the family's 1533-position model. Lineage: Bacteria; Pseudomonadati; Acidobacteriota. The record is from RNAcentral.
UGGGGAAUUUUUCGCAAUGGGGGAAACCCUGACGAAGCAACGCCGCGUGGAGGAUGAAGGCCUUCGGGUCGUAAACUCCUGUCAACCGGGACGAAUGCACUCGGCCCAAUACGUCGGCGUGUUGACUGUACCGGUGGAGGAAGCCACGGCUAACUCUGUGCCAGCAGCCGCGGUAAUACAGAGGUGGCAAGCGUUGUUCGGAAUUACUGGGCGUAAAGGGCGCGUAGGCGGCCGAGCAAGUCCCGUGUGAAAUCCCCCGGCUCAACUGGGGAACUGCACGGGAUACUGCCUGGCUUGAGUUCGGGAGAGGGAAGCGGAAUUCCGGGUGUAGCGGUGAAAUGCGCAGAUAUCCGGAGGAACACCAGCGGCGAAGGCGGCUUCCUGGACCGACACUGACGCUGAGGCGCGAAAGCUAGGGGAGCAAACGGG